GGAGGGGUGACCGAGUGGUCUAUGGUAACGGUCUUGAAAACCGUCGUUGCGCAAGCAACCGUGGGUUCGAAUCCCACCCCCUCCG
RNAcentral lists this transfer RNA (85 nucleotides) under Dehalococcoidales bacterium. RNAcentral describes it as "tRNA-Ser". It matches the Rfam family "tRNA". Rfam says of the family: Transfer RNA (tRNA) molecules are approximately 80 nucleotides in length. The record is from RNAcentral. Lineage: Bacteria; Bacillati; Chloroflexota; Dehalococcoidia; Dehalococcoidales.